GCCUUUCCUUACUAACCGUAGUUUGAGUUAAUUUCCUCAUCCACCUCCGUCCGGCAAUUACAAUUCCAUCCAGUUAUUUUUCAGAGCCAGACAUCGCGCUGCUCCGCACGUUUUGGGAUCGCUUCGGGUACGACUUUAAUUUGUUCGUUACAUGGAUAAUUAGCAGAGGCAACGCGCCGUGACCGGGUCGAGCCGGGAAUUUUGCGAGCGUAAUUAUUUUAGUUAAUGCCCCCGGCGUAUUUUUUUUAAAAACGCCGCGCCGCGCCGGGGCGGCGCGUUCCUAAUAUCGAGUACAUUAAGCCGUAUAUCUCGAAGAGCGAAAAGCACCGUGAAAAAUACAUCAAUUUGUCUAGCGGAAUUUCGUGGUUGGCAUCCCGUGAAAAGCAUAAAACUGCACGGCGCGCUUACACAGUGGCAGCAGGAAGACGGCUGCUCCUCACGUUCCUAAUAAUAAUAAGAGAGCCCGGGCGAACGGGACGAACAAAAGUGCCGGAGGAAACGCGACCUACGUGGCACGCUGAUGCUCGACCGUUACUUGUGCUCGGCAUUUUGCCAGUAGCAAUGAAAAACAUCUUGGAAUAAUGUAACUUGCAUCCAAGGAAAAUGACGAGGCGUGGAUCUGUGUUGCGAAUCGCUAUUGUGGCUUAAAGGAAUAAAAUUCAACAACUAAAAGAAGAGAAAUAAGAAAAUUUUUGUAUGUAUAAAAUGAAAUAGAUACGUAUGUCAUACGUAGUAUGUGUUAUUUGUUCAAGGACAUACCUUUUUACAUACAAGUUAUAACAAGUUUGCAGAGGAAGGUAGCGUUUUUACUCAGUUGGCUAAAUUCUUAUUGGCAGGAACGGCGCAAGGGUGAGGGCGGAAAAAUCAAUUAGACUGCCUUCGACAGCCACGUCGCCAUGAUUCAGGAAACCGAUAAAUCUCAGCUCAGCGACAUCAGCACCUCGACUGAAGUCUCGAGUAUCUCGCGCCAUUUCCACGUUCUUUUCCUUAUCCUUUUCCUUCUCAACGUUGAUUCUCAAGCGCAACGAGCGUCUAACGAAGGUAAAAGCGAGAUACUUUAUUGAUACUUGAUUAUUCUCAAACAAAAGGUAAGCCAAAAUUUUAUUCGAAACAGAUUGUAUCGAGUAAAGGAUAUGAAUAAAAGAAGAAUUCAUACAAAAUGCAUUAUGAGAUUUAAAUAUAUUUAUACAGAUGAUUUAAUUAUAUACGAAAGAAUUUCAAAGCAAAUCUGAAUUUUUCAAUUAGCGUAAUCAAUAACUUUAAUUGAAAUACAGAAAAAUUGCUUUUAAUUAAAUUUUAAUAAAUA
Long non-coding RNA from Wasmannia auropunctata (little fire ant), 1306 nucleotides. RefSeq lists it as uncharacterized. The transcript is spliced from 3 exons. NCBI's taxonomy places the organism in Eukaryota, Metazoa, Arthropoda, Insecta, Hymenoptera, Formicidae. The record is from RefSeq and is a predicted model, not a curated record.